This 85-nucleotide transfer RNA is filed under the name Pirellulaceae bacterium. Its description in RNAcentral is "tRNA-Ser". It matches the Rfam family "tRNA". From Rfam's summary of the family: Transfer RNA (tRNA) molecules are approximately 80 nucleotides in length. Their secondary structure includes four short double-helical elements and three loops (D, anti-codon, and T loops). The record is from RNAcentral. Lineage: Bacteria; Pseudomonadati; Planctomycetota; Planctomycetia; Pirellulales; Pirellulaceae.
GGAUGGGCCACCCGAUUGGCGACGGGACCCGGUUGGAAGCCGGACGAGCCGCAAGGCCUUGAAGGUUCGAAUCCCUCCCCUUCCG